AAAUCGAAAUGUUUGCCCUCUUCUCCCCCCCCUAAAAAAAAUCACUCGAUUAAAAAAAUUUAAUCUCUUAUGUAUUAUUUUAAUAUCUUAUUUACUUAAUUUAUUAUUUAUUUUGAGGCAUAAUAUAGUUUGCUAUUUUUUUUACUUAAUUAGCUAAAUUUUGUAGUUCUUUUUUUUUUAUAUUCUUAAGAAAUAUGAAUAUUUAUGCUAAUAGCAUAAAUUUUGAGAGAAAAAUAACUUAAUUUAAUAGCCGAAUUUUUGAUCCAGAAUUUUUAAUUGGUGAACGUAUAAUAUCUGUAUAAAUCAUAUAUCCAAAUAAUUGACGAAUCCGUUUUUUAUCCAUACUUUUCAACGAAUUUAAAAAUUAGAAGACGAAUUUUAUUCGAAUUAUACCUGUACCGAUUUUUUGCUGAACCUGAAUUAACUAACUAUGGUUAGGAUUUAGUUAGAUUUAUAAUUAAUUUUUUAAUUGAAUAAAAUUUAAUAUUUAAAAUUAUUAUAAAUAAAUUAAGAUUUAAAUAUUAAUUAGAGUAUAAAUUUAACUAGAUUAAGAUAAAUAUUUAAAUUUAUUGAAGAUAAAUUAAAUAUAAAUUUAAACAUUAUUUGGAGUUGGAAUCUAAUUAUAUUAGGAUGCAUUAU
Molecule: long non-coding RNA, 639 nt
Filed under: Ananas comosus (pineapple)
Lineage: Eukaryota; Viridiplantae; Streptophyta; Magnoliopsida; Poales; Bromeliaceae
Description: long non-coding RNA (ACOM_LNC027304)
Source: RNAcentral